AGUGAACGCUGGCGGUAGGCCUAACACAUGCAAGUCGAACGGCAGCACAGUAAGAGCUUGCUCUUACGGGUGGCGAGUGGCGGACGGGUGAGGAAUACAUCGGAAUCUACUUUUUCGUGGGGGAUAACGUAGGGAAACUUACGCUAAUACCGCAUACGACCUACGGGUGAAAGAAGGGGAUCUUCGGACCUUGCGCGAUUGAAUGAGCCGAUGUCGGAUUAGCUAGUUGGCGGGGUAAAGGCCCACCAAGGCGACGAUCCGUAGCCGGUCUGAGAGGAUGAUCAGCCACACUGGAACGGAGGCACGGUCCAGACUCCUACGGGAGGCAGCAGUGGGGAAUAUUGGACAAUGGGAGCAAGCCUGAUCCAGCCAUACCGCGUGGGUGAAGAAGGCCUUCGGGUUGUAAAGCCCUUUUGUUGGGAAAGAAAAGCAGCAGGUUAAUACCCCGCUGUUCUGACGGUACCCAAAGAAUAAGCACCGGCUAACUUCGUG
Molecule: ribosomal RNA, 492 nt
Filed under: uncultured bacterium
Lineage: Bacteria
Description: partial 16S ribosomal RNA
Rfam family: Bacterial small subunit ribosomal RNA
Source: RNAcentral